Molecule: ribosomal RNA, 484 nt
Filed under: uncultured bacterium
Lineage: Bacteria
Description: partial 16S ribosomal RNA
Rfam family: Bacterial small subunit ribosomal RNA
Source: RNAcentral
AUUGAACGCUGGCGGCAGGCCUAACACAUGCAAGUCGAGCGGAUGAAGGGAGCUUGCUCCUGGAUUCAGCGGCGGACGGGUGAGUAAUGCCUAGGAAUCUGCCUGGUAGUGGGGGAUAACGUCCGGAAACGGGCGCUAAUACCGCAUACGUCCUGAGGGAGAAAGUGGGGGAUCUUCGGACCUCACGCUAUCAGAUGAGCCUAGGUCGGAUUGGCUAGUUGGUGGGUUAAGGGCCUACCAAGGCGACGAUCCGUAACUGGUCUGAGAGGAUGAUCAGUCACACUGGAACUGAGACACGGUCCAGACUCCUACGGGAGGCAGCAGUGGGGAAUAUUGGACAAUGGGCGAAAGCCUGAUCCAGCCAUGCCGCGUGUGUGAAGAAGGUCUUCGGAUUGUAAAGCACUUUAAGUUGGGAGGAAGGGCAGUAAGUUAAUACCUUGCUGUUUUGACGUUACCAACAGAAUAAGCACCGGCUAACUUCGUG